CCACAAGUUUAAUUGAGCUCAGCGCUUGUCUGGGUGCAGGGAAAAGCAGAAGGUUUUUACGUGAUAGGACUGUUAGGUGAUAGGACAAGGAUGGGCGGAGGCUCGAUGUCCAGAGAACUGGCGAGGCGCUUCCCCUUCCUUCGAAUCCCGGGGUGACCCCACUGACUUUCCAGCCUGGGGACCUGGGAAGGGCCUCUGAGUGGCUUCCUGCCCACGGGGCUGGUCCGCCGUUCAACCAGCCCUCCCCCCACCCCUUUGCAAGGAGUGGUUUGCACCUGCAGUUUGAGUGACGUUACAGGUAGUGGGAGGCAGCUGCGCCCGGCUUCCACUCCAGAAAGAGGGCUGCAGAGAGCAGGGGCCCGACGCACAGUGCUCUCUCCUGCCCAGACCUCUGUCCCUGGCCCAUGGAGGGGUACAGCCCCCUGCCCCCAGUCCUCCCAUUCUCAGCGGCAGCUUUUGAAAGGUGCAAGGGAGCCGAGGCAGAGAUCAGAGAACGCAGCCACUGAAAGACCACACUUGGAAUCUUGGAAACCCCUUUCCGGAACCCCUUUCCUUCUUGCCAUCUGCAAUGCAGAGCAGUGGCUUUCAUGGUAGCAGUGGGGACGACGGUGACAACCCUAAUAGCUGAUGCUCACACGGUGCUCGCUCUGUGGCAGGCACCGUUCCAGACGCUGUCCGUGCACUGACUCGUUUGGCCUUCCUGACGGCUCUUUGAGGCAGGUGUCCUCAUCGUGGCUGUCGACAGGACUCCAUGGCUGGCUCCUCCACACCAUCAGGAAGCACGUGGCCCUGUGGCAGCAAUUCUCUGAGCCCGAAAAAGAAGCAAAAGGAAUAUUUGAUCACAAGUGGCUGCUGUCAGCCUGAGUCUCUGAAGUCCCAGGCCGGGUGCUUGUGCCCGCCGGCGGGGAGUCCUGCGAGGCCUCUCCUUCCCAUCCACAGCCCCAGCCCGGGACUCUGCAGUCACCUCUGCAAGGGAGGUUGCAGGACACGGUACGUGUUGCUCAGAUGGCGCCCUUCCUUGGCCAGGAAUGUGGUUCCUUCAACGGAGCGGUGAGCAGUGGGUUCCUGUCUGAAGUUGUGCAGAAAUGCCCUCAGAGCCCUCACCACCCACCUUCCCAGCUGCCUCGUCCUAGCAAGAGAGGAAGGGUGCCUUGGAAAAAGCGAGGCUUUUGGAAGCAGUCAAACCUGGGGUUCAGAUUCAGCUCCCGAUUACGGCUGGCGGCGGCUUUGGUGAAGUCACCGAACUUGUGUGUGCUUGUUUUAGGGACAGAACGCUCCGUUGCUGGGUCUGAGUGGAGGGCUACAUGAAACCAGGUACGCAGGGUGCCUGGAUGUGUGUCUGGCCUGCAGAAGGAACUUGAUAAACAGUAGAUAUAAUUAAGUUGGUUCAGGGAGUUCGGGGAGCAGUGAGGUCCAUCCCCCACCUUACAGGAGGCCUAUGCCUAGUGUACCCAGGACUAAUGUACUGCUGUGAUUCUUUAAGGUUCUAGAGACAAGGAAGUUUUGAAACUUCCUGGUGUAUCCAAGUCCCUGUUUCAACAGCUGUCCUCUGUGAUAAUUCGGGUGUUUUUGGUCUAACCUGAGUCCCUCAAGCUGUAACUCCAGUUAAUUUUCUUUUGUCUCCUUUUCAGAAGAGACUGAGUGAGAAUCACCCAGUUGUCUUCUGAUAUUUCUUCAGGAGCAGAAAGACUUUUCCCCACCUGUGAAGUACAGAAUCCCAGGGCUCACUGGGUCCUAAUCCUGUUUCAGAGGUGCAGACAAUGGAUCCAGAGGGAUCUUACCCAGGGCCUUACCCAGACCCACAAAGCAGAGUCUGUGGCAGGUGCAGGGACGAGAAUCCCCCCCCCACUCCCACGCCCCUCCCCCCCCCCCCAGCUUCCCUGAUCUGACUCCCACUGUUCCACCUCCUGUUAUGGCACCUGCUCCCCUUCUCUGAACACCCUGCACUCUAGAACUUUCUUGUUUGCUUUCCUGGAUUAAAAAAAAAAAAGAGUGAGGAUAAAAUGAAAGAAUAAAAGGACUUUCCAAGGAGGCUAACUGUGCCCCCUAUUCAAGGAAGGGAUGUGAGCCCCCCCGGGUUGCAGAAGCGUUGGGACCCGCCAGGGCGCCAGGGGGCGGACAGUCCAGCAUCCCCACUCUCAUCGGCAGGCACCGGCUGAGUCCCAUAAUCAACACCAUUAUCUCCGGAUAAUAUUCCCUUCUCUCGGCAAUACGGUCCGUGAAAGGAGCCCGACGCAGGGCCGCGUUUCUGGGACUAGGAGAAGGGGGGACGUGGCCUUGAUUGCAAAUGAAAAAUUAAGCCCGCGUGCCUGGCAUUCUGGCGGCGUGAUUGCGUCCUGCCCGCCGCGUCCCGCCCACCCGGCCGCCCGAAGGGGAGCCCGAGCCAUCUACGCGUUCUUUGGCUCGCCUCGCGUUUAGCAAAUCUAUAAUGCAUUUAAUCUCCGAAAGCCACGGCGCUUGGCUUUAAAUGCCUAAUUUGCUGUCGAGAGCCCCUGCAAUUCUCUCUCCGCGGUCCCGGAACUUGAGGCUUUUGUUUGUCCAAUCAGCGGGGCUCCCCAAGCGGUGGAGCGCUCCGAGCUGUGCCCUUAAUCCCCUCGGAGGGGGCACGAGAUCCCCACACUCCUGUCCUGUCCCCCCACCACGAGUGACUUCUCAGGCAGACUGCCCGGGAGCCCGGGGUCGCCCCCAGCGUUCUGCACCCUCUCCAUCCCGCCCGGGCCCUGCCUGCACUGCCAGGAUGAGAAGGAACCCGCGGGCUGCAGGAGCGAGACAACCCCUGAGCGGACAAUUAUUGCACGAUGGGAUCAGUGCCUUAACAGAGGUGUGUACAGAGCAGGAGGUGACUCCGGUUCUCUUGGAAAGCUCAUAGAAACUUGCCCACCUCGCAGGCAAGUAGAUGUCAUUCAGUGGGCAGCCCAAGACAAGGGGCACCUGUUCCGCGCGUGCAGAGGAGGAAAGUAUUCUUGUCCUGUGACCUUGAAGGGCCCAUGGAGAUGUCUUGCAAGAAUAUGCAUGCAAAAGAGAUAGAUGGAGUCAACCAUAUGUAGUUAGAUACAGACACACACAGCUGUAUAUGCAUAUAUGAGUAUAUAGUCUUAUAAUUCUAUCACUAUUUGCAUAAUUUCUGUACGGUAUUCGUUUGCGGUCGGGGCUGCCACAACAAAGUGCCACAGACUGGGUCGCUUAAAAGACCGAAAUUUACUUUCUCACGGUAUUCUGGAGGCUGGACUGAGAUCGAGGUGUGGGCAGGCUGGUUGCUCCUGAGGCCUCUGUCCUCGGUGUGCAGAUGGCCGUCUUCUCUCGUGUCCUCACGUGGUCUCCCUCUGCGUGUGUCUGUGUCCUAAUCUCCUCAUAAGGACACCGGUCAUGUUGGACUGGGACCCACCCGCCUGACCUCAUGUUCAAGGCCCUCUCUCCAAAUACAGUCACGUUCUGAGGUAUUGGCGUUAGAACUUCAAUAUAGGAAUGGAGGAGACAAUUCAGGGCAUGCCAAAUGUGAAUCUAUAUUUAUGAAUUGAUUUAUUUAACAUUUCUGUCCAGAAGUGUUCCCUAGUGCGUGACCUUUCCGGGAAGUGGCUUGCGGGGAGAGGACAGAUCUUGUUCAAAUGCACGGGGCAGCGAUGAUGUGUCUCGCCACCUGAGGGAGGCGAAAGGCUACUUCUCACAACCAACUCUCAGGCCUUUGUAUCCAGCUCGGUCGUUUCAGUAGUCCCAGAGGCGACCUCUGUGGUCAGGGAAACUCCGGGCACCCCUCAGUUCAGAGGUCCAGGGAGCCCCCGAAAUGCCAGCCACAUGGUAGUCUUUCCUAGGAAGGAGGUUUCACCUUGGAAGGGGCUCACCUCCCAUGAGGAUGGGAGCUGAAGCCAGAUAAUUGGGCUUCUUGACUCCUCGAACGCUGGUCUUACAUCAGUUAGAACUCUCCUGUUUGCCAGUGACAGACAUAAGACUCACAUAGGCUUUAAAUCAAGACAGAGUCUUAUUGGCAUAUGUAACCAACAACUCCGGAGGGUAGACCUAGAUUUUCAGAAAUGGCUGGAUUCAGUCAGCACGAUAUUUCCACCUACCAGCCCCGUUCCCUUUUAUGUCAGCGUCUUAAGGCAGGGCUUCAGCAGUGGCAAGGUGACUGUUCCCAGCUCUGAGCCCACAGCCUGCCAGAGCCAAAUCCAAUGUCACAGGGAGAGAAAGGAGUUCUCAACAGACUCAUUCAAACAAUUUUUUUUUAAUGUCUUGUGUCUCAUUGGAUUUGUCUAGGGUCACAGGGACAUCUCCCAAACCCGCACUGCAGCCAGGGAAAUGAUUGACCGAUCAUUCCAGAGUUACAUGACACAUAGCCACCCCCCUACUCCCUGGAGCCAGUGACAUCCAGAGCAGGGACAGGAGUGAUUCCCCAGAGAGAAAUUGGGGUUCUUUUUCCCUAAAGAAGGCCACACGGCUGCCAGUUGGUAAAAGCAAAAGACAUCCACUGUAGACUCAGAAGAGGCUUGCGAAACAAAGGCAAAGCAAGGUUGUCCUGGUUGUGCAUUUCAGGAAUGUUUCUGCUUGAAUAGUAGUAGCAUUGGGUUUAAUUAUAUUACAAGUUUCCUGCUUCUUACCUAAGCUAAUUUUAUUUCUGUGGAGUGGACUAUUGUUUCUAAGAGCAAGAAAUACUUUUCUUAAGUAGAUAAAAAAAAAAAAAAGGAGAAGAACAGUGGUUAAGUAAGGCCUAGGGCUCUGGAGUCCUCACUCUGUCACGGAACAGCCAUUGGAUGUUGAGCAAGUUACUUAACCUCUCCGAACUUCUUUUCUGUCUACUAACUGGGGUUACUAAAAGCUUCUUCUCAUUA
Long non-coding RNA from Felis catus (domestic cat), 4823 nucleotides. RefSeq lists it as uncharacterized. Lineage: Eukaryota; Metazoa; Chordata; Mammalia; Carnivora; Felidae. The record is from RefSeq and is a predicted model, not a curated record. The transcript has 3 exons.